This 251-nucleotide ribosomal RNA is filed under the name uncultured bacterium. RNAcentral describes it as "partial 16S ribosomal RNA". It matches the Rfam family "Bacterial small subunit ribosomal RNA", at positions 524 to 774 of the family's 1533-position model. The record is from RNAcentral.
UACGAGGGGGGCGAGCGUUGUUCGGAAUUAUUGGGCGUAAAGGGUGCGUAGGCGGUUUGACAAGUCUUGUGUGAAAUCUCUGGGCUCAACCCAGAGGCUGCACAGGAAACUGUCGGGCUUGAGGAUGGGAGAGGUGAGUGGAAUUUCCGGUGUCGCGGUGAAAUGCGUAGAUAUCGGAAGGAACACCUGUGGCGAAAGCGGCUCACUGGACCAUUUCUGACGCUGAUGCACGAAAGCUAGGGGAGCAAACA